UAGGGAGGUCAGGGUCAGGAGCCCUCCCCCCCCUGAGCCCAGGGUAACGCUUAAAGUUGGGGGGCA
This is a non-coding RNA of Rattus norvegicus (Norway rat), 66 nucleotides long. Lineage: Eukaryota; Metazoa; Chordata; Mammalia; Rodentia; Muridae. The record is from Rfam.